GUGAGGUGAAGGGCAGCUCGAGCAGGGCCUGCUGACGGUGCAGAGAAUGAUCGAGAAGCCGCCCUCCUGAGCGCGGAGGCCUGGAGCUUCCUUCUGCGUGGCAGGAGGGCGCUGGCCUGUGGUCCCUCUCAGUGGGGGCGGGAGGAACUGAUCUCUCAGCAUGAAAUGGUCGCCUGGCCUCUGGGAAGGCUCCCAGCAGUCGACGCCCAGGCCAGGCCUGGCCGGCUGCUCCUCCAGCUGCUGCUCCCAGCCGGAGCCAUUUUCCGACCCCAAAGACUUGUCAGCAGGACUAGAAAUGCUUGGACCCUCAAAUGUAACCCCGAAUAUCAGCAGCAGACCCCCCCACCCCUGGGGGAAAAGUCUCCAAUCAGAGAUCCUCUGAGGCGAGCCAAGAGCGGUUUUGGAGGGAGCAGCGCAUAUUUUGAGUUUGGAUGGCAGGUACUUGAGCUUGAACUGCCAACAGAAAACGUCAAGUUAUCAUCAGACGUCUGAUGGCCCUCUCUGAGAGUCCCUUUAGAGCAAAAGGCCCUCCUGCUGGAAGCACCAUCUGUCAGCAUGCUGC
Long non-coding RNA from Bos taurus (domestic cattle), 562 nucleotides. NCBI's taxonomy places the organism in Eukaryota, Metazoa, Chordata, Mammalia, Artiodactyla, Bovidae. The record is from Ensembl.